GACAGAGGGGGGCAAGCGUUGCUCGGAAUUACUGGGCGUAAAGGGCGCGUAGGCGGGAUGGCAAGUCGGUCGUGAAAUCCCUCGGCUCAACCGAGGAACGUCGAUCGAUACUGCUGUUCUUGAGGAUUGCAGAGGAGACUGGAAUUCCCGGUGUAGCGGUGAAAUGUGUAGAGAUCGGGAGGAACACCGGUGGCGAAGGCGGGUCUCUGGGCAAUUCCUGACGCUGAGGCGCGAAAGCGUGGGGAGCAAACGGG
RNAcentral lists this ribosomal RNA (254 nucleotides) under uncultured bacterium. RNAcentral's name for it is "partial 16S ribosomal RNA". It matches the Rfam family "Bacterial small subunit ribosomal RNA", at positions 524 to 776 of the family's 1533-position model. The record is from RNAcentral.